RNAcentral lists this long non-coding RNA (224 nucleotides) under Panax ginseng (ginseng). RNAcentral describes it as "long non-coding RNA (PGIN_LNC003639)". Lineage: Eukaryota; Viridiplantae; Streptophyta; Magnoliopsida; Apiales; Araliaceae. The record is from RNAcentral.
GUAACUGAUUUUGCAAUUAGUAGGGUUAUUAAGGGGUAUCAAUUUUAUUCUAGUGCUUGAAUAUCAGUUGGUUAUUUGUAUUAUGCAUUCUAUUUUUUUCAAGUGUGAGAGUACUGAGUUCUGAGAAAAUUGAGAACUUGAGAGGUUAGCAAAGAAAAUUGAGAGAGUUACGAAUUUUCACAGCAAGUUCAAGUGAUUAGCAGUGUUUGCAUUUGUAAUUGAAG